UCCCGGGUGACGAGCGGCGGACGGGUGAGUAAUGUCUGGGAAACUGCCUGAUGGAGGGGGAUAACUACUGGAAACGGUAGCUAAUACCGCAUAACGUCGCAAGACCAAAGAGGGGGACCUUCGGGCCUCUUGCCAUCAGAUGUGCCCAGAUGGGAUUAGCUAGUAGGUGGGGUAACGGCUCACCUAGGCGACGAUCCCUAGCUGGUCUGAGAGGAUGACCAGCCACACUGGAACUGAGACACGGUCCAGACUCCUACGGGAGGCAGCAGUGGGGAAUAUUGCACAAUGGGCGCAAGCCUGAUGCAGCCAUGCCGCGUGUAUGAAGAAGGCCUUCGGGUUGUAAAGUACUUUCAGCGGGGAGGAAGGUGUUGAGGUUAAUAACCUCAGCAAUUGACGUUACCCGCAGAAGAAGCACCGGCUAACUCCGUGCCAGCAGCCGCGGUAAUACGGAGGGUGCAAGCGUUAAUCGGAAUUACUGGGCGUAAAGCGCACGCAGGCGGUCUGUCAAGUCGGAUGUGAAAUCCCCGGGCUCAACCUGGGAACUGCAUUCGAAACUGGCAGGCUAGAGUCUUGUAGAGGGGGGUAGAAUUCCAGGUGUAGCGGUGAAAUGCGUAGAGAUCUGGAGGAAUACCGGUGGCGAAGGCGGCCCCCUGGACAAAGACUGACGCUCAGGUGCGAAAGCGUGGGGAGCAAACAGGAUUAGAACCGGGGGGAAAUCCAAAAAAUUGGGGGGGGGGGGGGGGUUGGGGGGGGG
Molecule: ribosomal RNA, 754 nt
Filed under: Enterobacter asburiae
Lineage: Bacteria; Pseudomonadati; Pseudomonadota; Gammaproteobacteria; Enterobacterales; Enterobacteriaceae
Description: partial 16S ribosomal RNA
Rfam family: Bacterial small subunit ribosomal RNA
Source: RNAcentral